AUUGAACGCUGGCGGCAGGCCUAACACAUGCAAGUCGAGCGGAUGAAGGGAGCUUGCUCCUGGAUUCAGCGGCGGACGGGUGAGUAAUGCCUAGGAAUCUGCCUGGUAGUGGGGGACAACGUUUCGAAAGGAACGCUAAUACCGCAUACGUCCUACGGGAGAAAGCAGGGGACCUUCGGGCCUUGCGCUAUCAGAUGAGCCUAGGUCGGAUUAGCUAGUUGGUGAGGUAAAGGCUCACCAAGGCGACGAUCCGUAACCGGUCUGAGAGGAUGAUCAGUCACACUGGAACUGAGACACGGUCCAGACUCCUACGGGAGGCAGCAGUGGGGAAUAUUGGACAAUGGGCGAAAGCCUGAUCCAGCCAUGCCGCGUGUGUGAAGAAGGUCUUCGGAUUGUAAAGCACUUUAAGUUGGGAGGAAGGGUUGUAGAUUAAUACUCUGCAAUUUUGACGUUACCGACAGAAUAAGCACCGGCUAACUCUGUGCCAGCAGCCGCGGUAA
RNAcentral lists this ribosomal RNA (500 nucleotides) under uncultured bacterium. Its description in RNAcentral is "partial 16S ribosomal RNA". It matches the Rfam family "Bacterial small subunit ribosomal RNA", at positions 30 to 523 of the family's 1533-position model. The record is from RNAcentral.